Molecule: ribosomal RNA, 433 nt
Filed under: uncultured bacterium
Lineage: Bacteria
Description: partial 16S ribosomal RNA
Rfam family: Bacterial small subunit ribosomal RNA
Source: RNAcentral
AACGAACGCUGGCGGCAUGCCUAACACAUGCCAGUCGAACGAGACCUUCGGGUCUAGUGGCGCACGGGUGCGUAACGCGUGGGAAGCUGCCCUUAGGGUCGGAAUAACUCCACGAAAGGGGUGCUAAUACCGGAUAAUGUCUUCGGACCAAAGAUUUAUCGCCUUUGGAGGGGCCCGCGUGGGAUUAGCUAGUGGGUAGGGUAAAAGCCUACCAAGGCGACGAUCCAUAGCUGGUCUGAGAGGAUGAUCAGCCACACUGGGACUGAGACACGGCCCAGACUCCUACGCGAGGCAGCAGUGGGUAAUAUUGGACAAUGGGCGAAAGCCUGAUCCAGCAAUGCCGCGUGAGUGAUGAAGGCCUUAGGGUUGUAAAGCUCUUUUACCCGGGAUGAUAAUGACAGUACCGGGAGAAUAAGCUCCGGCUAACUCCGUG